GGGAAGAGAGGACAGAAGUAAAAAGAGAAAUUAGGACCAAUUUAAAUAAAGGAAACAGAUACCACAAAAUUAGCAGGCAAUGCACGGAGGAAACCUUAUUGAAAGUCAUCUAGACACUGAUGUGAGGAUAAAAGAAAACACCUAUUUAUAAAAUACCUGAGCACAAACUUUCUUUCCUUCAGAAAUACCAGCUCUAAGCAGAAGAGACAUUAAAAGCAAGCCUGUAGAGAAAGAAAAAGUAGCCCUCCUAAGUGAAAAAUAGGGAAGGAAAUCUCAGUGCGAUGGUGCUUCAUGCUGUCCAUUACUAGACGGCAGCCCUCAGCCGUUCAAGUGCCACAUACAACCCACUGAGCACUCAGUGUCUAUUCUUUAUUACACAACUGUGUUUCUAAUAAUAGCAAGGACGUGUGCAAGGGAGCCCAUAAUUUCUUAGCAAAACUAAUGCCAGUAAAUCAAAGAAAGGUUCUAAAGCAUACUUUAAUAGGUGGCUUACAUUUUUUUUAUUACAAUGCUACAUCAAGAGUCAAGCCAUGCAAUGCUUUACAGUUUAAGAUUUCAAAGUACU
Molecule: long non-coding RNA, 565 nt
Organism: Phyllostomus discolor (pale spear-nosed bat)
Lineage: Eukaryota; Metazoa; Chordata; Mammalia; Chiroptera; Phyllostomidae
Exons: 2
Source: RefSeq, a predicted model, not a curated record